Drosophila sulfurigaster albostrigata is the source of this 1264-nucleotide long non-coding RNA. RefSeq lists it as uncharacterized. Lineage: Eukaryota; Metazoa; Arthropoda; Insecta; Diptera; Drosophilidae. The transcript is spliced from 2 exons. The record is from RefSeq and is a predicted model, not a curated record.
AGGAAAAAGUACAUCAGUGAAGUGGUUGGUGUAGUAAGAUGCUUAAAACGUACUUGUGAGUAUACAAAGAUACUUCAUUGUAUAAUUGUUAUACUGAGUCGUUAAUCUGGUCAUCUUCUUUUUUUUUACAAAAGUGCACCUUGCCGUCCACUUGUAGCUGUUUGUCCACUAGAGGAAUUUGCCAACUGGCGUAAAUAAACCAAGUGCCGUUUUCCAGAAUAGGAUUCGGCACCCAGUAUUAAUUUAUAUAACUCCGUCAUAAAUUAUAAUAUAAUUGAUAUAAAACCCAGUUAUAAUUUAUAUUAAACCCGGUAUUAAGCUGAAUAAAAUGACCCAGCCAUAAUGUAUAAUAACCCAGUGGUAGAAUUUUAAAUUAAUUUAAAAUUAAACUUCAACACACACAACUGCUUGAUUAACGGCCAACCCCCAAAAGCUCCAAGUCGCAGCUGUGCUGGACACAUCAGCUGUCUGGGCAACGCAAACAUAUGAGCUGUUGCUAGCUGCAGCCGCUCAUUGAGCACAGGAGAAUUGCUUCCCAGCAGGUGGUGUUUCUACUGCAAAACACCUGCGUCCGGCAGCCUUGCGAUCUCCGUUGGCUAUUUGCUCCGCACUUGUGGUGGCAUCGAUGCCGAGUAUCUGCGUCACCCAGGAGGAAGGCGAACGGCAGCUUAUUUUUUUUUGUUUGUUUAUUAUUGUUAAUUUACGUUAUGUUGUUUAACUAUGCAUCUAUAAGUGAUAGUCCAUCAAUGUUGUAAGUGUAAUAUGAUGUGGCGAGAAAGUUGAACCAACAACUUUUCGGGGUCCUUCAUAAUACAAGUACCACUGUACUAUUGUAUAAAAUAGAAAUGGCAAUCAUUUAAGAAGGCAUGUAAGGCAACACCUAUAGGCAAAAUAUCUUUGUAAAAUUGAAUUUAGUUAUAAAAAUUAAUGUUUUUGUAUUGCCUGAAAAGCAUGUAAAACCAUACUUGCAUACAUUUGUAUGUAUGCAUGUUUGUUUUGAUCGACGCUACCGGUCAUAGCAAGCAGCUUUCAUGCAGGCGCAAAAGCUCGCAAUUAUUAUUAUUCCCCACAGAUACACCACAGACAGGCACCAACACAAGGAAAGAUCUUUCUGCGUGGGAGUCUCUAAUGUAUGUAAGUCUGUUUCACUCUAACUAAUUAAUAAUCUAUGAGCUAGAGCUAAAGCUUCCCUUUUGCUGGUGGUCCAUCUGACCAUAGCGCUGCUACAGCUGUCUGCAGUCCCAGCGGUCAAUGACCUUGCGAG